GAUGAACGCUGGCGGCGUGCCUAAUACAUGCAAGUCGAGCGAACAGACGAGGAGCUUGCUCCUCUGACGUUAGCGGCGGACGGGUGAGUAACACGUGGAUAACCUACCUAUAAGACUGGGAUAACUUCGGGAAACCGGAGCUAAUACCGGAUAAUAUAUUGAACCGCAUGGUUCAAUAGUGAAAGACGGUUUUGCUGUCACUUAUAGAUGGAUCCGCGCCGCAUUAGCUAGUUGGUAAGUUAACGGCUUGCCAAGGCAACGAUGCGUAGCCGACCUGAGAGGGUGAUCGGCCACUCUGGAACUGAGACACGGUCCAGACUCCUACGGGAGGCAGCAGUAGGGAAUCUUCCGCAAUGGGCGAAAGCCUGACGGAGCAACGCCGCGUGAGUGAUGAAGGUCUUCGGAUCGUAAAACUCUGUUAUUAGGGAAGAACAAAUGUGUAAGUAACUAUGCACGUCUUGACGGUACCUAAUCAGAAAGCCACGGCUAACUACGUG
This 497-nucleotide ribosomal RNA is filed under the name uncultured bacterium. RNAcentral's name for it is "partial 16S ribosomal RNA". It matches the Rfam family "Bacterial small subunit ribosomal RNA", at positions 28 to 507 of the family's 1533-position model. The record is from RNAcentral.